Oncorhynchus tshawytscha (Chinook salmon) is the source of this 359-nucleotide long non-coding RNA. RefSeq lists it as uncharacterized. The transcript is spliced from 3 exons. The record is from RefSeq and is a predicted model, not a curated record. NCBI's taxonomy places the organism in Eukaryota, Metazoa, Chordata, Actinopteri, Salmoniformes, Salmonidae.
AGGUCUAUACUAACCUGUAGAUUAUAUUAUAGAGGAUUAGGUCUAUACUAACCUGUAGAUUAUAUUAUAGAGGAUUAGGUCUAUACUAACCUGUAGAUUAUAUUAUAGAGGAUUAGGUCUAUACUAACCUUUAGAUUAUAUUAUAGAGGAUUAGGUCUAUACUAACCUGUAGAUUAUAUUAUAGAGGAUUAGGUCUAUACUAACCUGUAGAUUAUAUUAUAGAGGAUUAGGUCUAUACUAACCUGUAGAUUAUAUUAUAGAGGAUUAGGUCUAUACUAACCUGUAGAUUAUAUUAUAGAGGAUUAGGUCUAUACUAACCUGUAGAUUAUAUUAUAGAGGAUUAGGUCUAUACUAACCUG